CAUUAAUAAAUAUUUUAUAACAUUUUAUUUAUAUAUGUAUUGUAUCAAUCAUACACACUGAACUUACAUGCUCUGCCAAUUUUAUAGAUCCAAACUUAUAUUUAUGCUAAUUUAAUAUAUUUUUAGGCAUCUGGUGAAGUUUAUGAUAGUACCAACCCUUAGCUAACAGAAUUGGUGGCAAAAUCAAUGUUGAAAUGGAGUAAAAACAAUGAAACAUGCUUUUGUUAGACUACCUGCAUGAUUUCAAAUUAUUCCAUAUGACAAUGAAACGACUUCUUUGUACAGCUAACGAUAGUUCCAUGAGCAGAUAGUUGUUGAUCUGAUGAUAACAUUUUAUGUGAUUCUUUUAAAACAAGAAUUGGGCCAAAGGGUAGUGUUCAGUUUUAUAGAAAGAUGUUGAACUAAGCGUUGAUUUCAAAUACUGCUAUUUUAAGGAAGGAAGUCAUUUUGAAAUGCAUCAAAUGCAUUUUCACUCAUUAAUCAUAUAUCUUGGUAGCUGCGGAACCGUAUCCCUUAUGUCCUUAUGUGGUUUUUUUUACUAUUUCUGAGGACCAUAGAGCUACGGAUUUUUCCUAUUUCAAAACAUUCUGAAUUGCGACUCAGGUUCAGGUCGCACUUUACACUAUUAUCUGAUUAUUCACAUUUGGAUACAUUUUCCGCCUAUUUUGUUCAGCCAUAUUGAAUCUUGUUGUGACGUCACGAUAAAGAAGAAAAGAUAACUCUUAUUGGAAAACACAUGUUGGUUUGUUUACGUUGUCUUUUAUUGUAAUUUGAAUACUUUUUUUUUUUAAUGAAAUAACUUUUAAUUAAAUUUAAAUACUAAUGGAAAUAAUAAUCCUUCAAAGUUAUUAAAAUAUUUCGUGUGAAAUAAUGUUGUAAAGCAUAAAAAUCACUUGAUUAUUGCUUAGAAAUAAGUAAACAAACUAACGCUUGUCUUCCUAUAAGAGUUAUCUGUUCUUGUUUUUCAUAGGCGUACCUUGGUACAUGUUGUAGUAGUACUGGUUAUGAAAAAAAAAUACAUUGGAAGGUAUGACCAGUAUAUUGUGUUGUGGAGUUAUUAAUGGUUAUGCUGCUGUUAUUUUGCUGUUAUUUUGUUUGACACAUUUGUAUGUAAUAUUUUCUAAACUGUAAAUAUGGUGAAUCACUCGAUAAUGAGUCUAAAUAUAUAAUAUAAAGAUGUUAUACUCUUUGAAACAGUUAGAGAUAUUGUAUAUAAGUUAUUAAAGUCUUUCAGAUAUGUUUGCUGUCUUUCAUAUUAAUUUAAAAUUAAGUGAUACAUUAUUUUUUUAAGUUAAUUUUGUGAUAUCUUUGUCUUUCAUGCAAUGCAAUCUUGGAGAAUAGCUAGAUUAGUUUGUUUAUUGAAUAUUGUUAUAUUGCUUAUAUUUGUAAUUUUUUCAUGCAUAUGUCAAUUUUAUAUAUCAGUAAAAUCUAUCCAGUAGUAUACAAUUUGUCCCCCAGACUUUGUUAUGAAUUUUAAAGUCUUUUUAAUAUGGUAGUUCUCCUAAUGUUGAAAUAUCAUUAUUGAAAUAAUUUCAAAAAUAGGAAAAUCUCAGCCUUAUGUUUGCCUAAAGCAAAUUUUUAGCUCACCUGGCCCGAAGGGCCAAGUGAGCUUUUCUCAUCACUUGGCGUCCGGCGUCCGUCGUCGUCCGUCGUCGUCGUCUGUCGUCGUCCUGCGUCCGGCGUUAACUUUUACAAAAAUCUUCUCCUCUGAAACUACUAGGCCAAAUUUAACCAAACUUGGCCACAAUCAUCAUUGGGGUAUCUAGUUUAAAAAUUGUGUCCGGUGACCCCGCCAACUAACCAAGAUGGCCGCCAUGGCUAUAAAUAGAACAUAGGGGUAAAAUGCAGUUUUUGGCUUAUAACUCAAAAACCAAAGCAUUUAGGGCAAAUCUGACAGGGGGUAAUAUUGUUAAUCAGGUUAAGAUCUAUCUGCUCUGAAAUUUUCAGAUGAAUCUGACAUUCCGUUGUUAGGUUGCUGCCCCUGAAUUGGUAAUUUUAAGGAAAUUUUGAUGUUUUUGGUUAUUAUCUUGAAUAUUAUUUUAGAUAGAGAUAAACUGUAAAAAGCAAUAAUGUUCAGCAAAGUAAGAUCUACAAAUAAGUCAACAUGACCAAAAUGAUCAGUUGACCACUUUAGGAGUUAUUGCCCUUUAUAGUCAAUUUUUAACCAUUUUUCGUAAAUCUUAGUAAUCUUUUAGAAAAAUCUUCUCCUCUGAAACUGCUGGACCAAAUUAUUUGAAACUUGGCCACAAUCAUCUAACCAACUAACCAAGAUGACCGCCAUGGCUAUAAAUAGAACAUAGGGGUAAAAUGCAGUUUUUGGCUUAUAACUCAAAAACCAAAGCAUUUAGAGCAAAUCUGACAUGGAUAAAAUUGUUAAUCAGGUGAAGAUCUAUCUGCCCUGAAAUUUUCAGAUGAAUUGGACAACCUGUUUUUGGGUUGCGGCCCCUGAAUUGUUAAUUUUAAGGAAAUUUUGCUGUUUUUGGUUAUUAUAUUGAAUAUUAUUAUAGAUAUAGGUAAACUGUAAACAGCAAUAAUGUUCAGCAAGGUCAGAGUUACAAAUAAGUCAACAUGACCAAAAUGGUCAGUGACCUCUUUAGGAGUUAUUGCCCUUUAAAGUCAAUUUUUAACCAUUUUUCGUAAAUUUUAUAUAUCUUUUACUAAAAUCUUCUUCUCUGAAACUGCUGUGCCAAAUUGAUCCAAACUUGGCCACAAUCAUCUUUGGGGUUUCUUGUUUAAAAAUGUGUCCGGUGACCUGGCCAUCAAACCAAGAUGGCCGCCACGGCUAAAAAUAGAACAUAGGGGUAAAAUGCAGUUUUUGGCUUAUAACUCAAAAACCAAAUAAUUUAGAGAAAAUCUGACAUGAAGUAAAAUUGUUAAUCAGGUCAAGAUCUAUCUGCCCUGAAAUUUUCAGAUGAAUUGGACAACCUGUUUUUGGGUUGCGGCCCCUGAAUUGGUAAUUUUAAGGACAUUUUGCUGUUUUUGGUUAUUAUAUUGAAUAUUAUUAUAGAUAUAGGUAAACUAUAAACAGCAAUAAUUUUCAGCAAAGUAAGAUCUACAAAUAAGUAAACAUGAACGAAAUGGUCAAUUGACCCCUGUAGGAGUUAUUGACCUUUGUAGUCAAUUUUCAAUCUGCUUCCUUUAUUUAAUAUUCACAUAGACCAAGGUGAGCGACACAGGCUCUUUAGAGCCUCUAGUUUAAUAAAAUUACCAAUAAGUGUCCGAAGAGGUUUUAAAGGUUCUGUGAUUCCAUACUCUCUUUUUUUUUAUGAAUUUCAAUAAGGGCUUAAUUUGGCCCAAUUCGUUUUCAUUGCUAAAUUUGAACUUUGUUUUAGAUUUCUAUUUUGAGAUUGCUUAUAAGUUCGAACUCUUGUGUGUAAAAUUAAAAGCCAAUACAAUUUGAUCCAAGAAGUUAUGAUAAAUGCAGUUGUGUCAUCAAAACAGGGCUCUCACUGGUUCAUAUGAAAAAUAUGUGCUGUCAUUUCAUGCUUAUGUUUUUGAACUGACAAAAUUAAUAGUGUUUAAACAUUGUAAUCCAACCUUUAUGUUUAAAUAAAACAAAUAAUUUAUAAAGUUUAACUUUGCUGCACUUUCAUAGAAACUUUGAAAAAAUGCAUUUAAGGUAUAAUUUGAUUUGCAUUUUUUAUGCCCCACCUACGAUAGUAGAGGGGCAUUAUGUUUUCUGGUCUGUGCGUCCGUCCGUCCAUCUGUCCAUUCGUUCGUCCGUCCGUCUGUCCGUUCGUCCGUCCGUCUGUCCCGCUUCAGGUUAAAGUUUUUGGUCAAGGUAGUUUUUGAUGAAGUUUAAGUCCAAUCGACUUCAAACUUAGUACAAGUGUCCCCUAUGAUAUGAUCUUUCUAAUUUUAAUGCCAAAUUAGAGUUUUUACCCCAAUUUCACGGUCCACUGAACAUGGAAAAUGAUAGUGCGAGUGGGGCAUUCGUGUACUGAGGACACAUUCUUGUUUACAAGAUAUUUUACAGAUCCCUAAUACUCAUUGUACAUCCUUCUUUGUUAUUGUUUUCAUUUGAAAUGAACUAUUGAGGUAUAUUUCACAGAAUUUGUCAUGGGAUGAUGACUUGUCAUGCCAUAAACUUACGAAAUGACAAGGGACAUUUUAUUAAUUUCAUAACAAUCCUCCAAAUAUAAAAAAAUAGAUGUGGUAUGAUUGCCAAUGAGACAACUCUUUAAAAGAGACCAAAUGACACAGAAAUUAACAACUGUAGGUCACUUUACGGGCACAUACUUACAGAAUGUGGCAAGGUUAAACAUGUUAGCAUGAUCUCAACCCUCCUCCUAACCUAGGACAGGGAUGUAACAGUACAAUAUAAAAAUAAACUAUAAAAAUGAGUUGCAAAAGACUAAACUCAUCAGAUGGUUACAAAUAGAAAUACAGAUAAAAAAAGAAUACCAUUUUGGAAAUUAUUGAAUUAACACAAUUUUCAUGCUAUUAUCAUACAGUAAACAUUAAGAGUUAUUUACCCUGACUAU
This 4484-nucleotide long non-coding RNA is filed under the name Mytilus galloprovincialis (Mediterranean mussel). The record is from RNAcentral. Lineage: Eukaryota; Metazoa; Mollusca; Bivalvia; Mytilida; Mytilidae.